AAAUUGAAGAGUUUGAUCAUGGCUCAGAUUGAACGCUGGCGGCAGGCCUAACACAUGCAAGUCGAACGGUAACAGGAAGCAGCUUGCUGCUUUGCUGACGAGUGGCGGACGGGUGAGUAAUGUCUGGGAAACUGCCCGAUGGAGGGGGAUAACUACUGGAAACGGUAGCUAAUACCGCAUAACGUCGCAAGACCAAAGAGGGGGACCUUCGGGCCUCUUGCCAUCGGAUGUGCCCAGAUGGGAUUAGCUAGUAGGUGAGGUAACGGCUCACCUAGGCGACGAUCCCUAGCUGGUCUGAGAGGAUGACCAGCCACACUGGAACUGAGACACGGUCCAGACUCCUACGGGAGGCAGCAGUGGGGAAUAUUGCACAAUGGGCGCAAGCCUGAUGCAGCCAUGCCGCGUGUAUGAAGAAGGCCUUCGGGUUGU
This 429-nucleotide ribosomal RNA is filed under the name Escherichia coli. RNAcentral describes it as "bacterial SSU rRNA". It matches the Rfam family "Bacterial small subunit ribosomal RNA", at positions 1 to 426 of the family's 1533-position model. Lineage: Bacteria; Pseudomonadati; Pseudomonadota; Gammaproteobacteria; Enterobacterales; Enterobacteriaceae. The record is from RNAcentral.